CUAAGGUCCCAAAUGCCGUGCUAAGUGGCGAAGGAUGUGGCGUUUCAUAAACAACCAGGAUGUUGGCUCAGAAGCAGCCACCAUUUAAAGAGUGCGUAAUAGCUCACUGGUCGAGAGACGCUGCGCCGAAAAUGUCCGGGGCUCAAGCACGGAACCGAAGCUAUGGCAUUGCGUAAGCAAUGGGUAGGGGAGCGUUCUUAUGGGGAAGAAGCAUUACCGUAAGGAGAUGUGGACACAUAAGAAGUGAGAAUGCCGGUAUGAGUAUCGAAAAGAAAGGUGAGAAUCCUUUCCACCGAAAGCCCGAGGGUUCCUGAGCAACGAUCGUCGUCUCAGGGUAAGUCGGGACCUAAGCCGAGGCACAGACGCAUAGGCGAUGGACAACAGGUUGAAAUUCCUGUACCGGAUGGAGUCAUUUGAGCAAUGGAGUGACGCAGGAGGGCACAUGAUCGCGCGACUGGAAGAGCGCGUCCAAGUGCGUAUGUUGAAUCGGAGGCAAAUCCCCGAUUCUGAAAGCAGAGACAUGAUGGGGAGUUAUAAGCGAUUAUGACGAACUCAUGGAUCCCACACUGCCAAGAAAAACUUCUAGCGAGACGAAAUCCGCCCGUACCGUAAACCGACACAGGUAGGCGGGGAGAGAAUCCUAAGGUGCGCGGGAAAACCCUCGUUAAGGAACUCGGCAAAUUGCAUCCGUAACUUCGGGAGAAGGAUGGCCCUGAGUAGGCGAAGUGCAGAAACGCACGGAACAGAAAAGGGUGGCAGAAAAGAGGCCCAAGCAACUGUUUACCAAAAACACAGGUGCCUGCGAAAGCGAAAGCUGAAGUAUAGGUGCUGACGCCUGCCCGGUGCUGGAAGGUUAAGGAGAGAGGUUAGCGCAAGCGAAGCUUUGAACUGAAGCCCCAGUGAACGGCGGCCGUAACUAUAACGGUCCUAAGGUAGCGAAAUUCCUUGUCGGGUAAGUUCCGACCCGCAUGAAAGGCGUAAUGAUUUGGGCGCUGUCUCAACGAGGGGCCCGGUGAAAUUGAAAUACCUGUGAAGAUGCAGGUUACCCGCGACUGGACAGAAAGACCCCAUGGAGCUUUACUGCAGCUUGAGAUUGAAUCCCGGUGGCAGACGCACAGGAUAGGUGGGAGGCUUUGAGAUAGUGACUUUGGUUGCUAUGGAGCCGACGUUGGGAUACCACCCUUCUGUUGCUGGGAUUCUAACGCGAAGAUUAACAACCUUGCGGACCAUCUCAGGUAGGCGGUUUGACUGGGGCGGUCGCCUCCGAAAGAGUAACGGAGGCGCCCAAAGGUUCCCUCAGGCCGGACAGAAACCGGCCGAAGAGUGCAAAGGCAGAAGGGAGCUUGACUGCGAGACAGACAAGUCGAGCAGAGACGAAAGUCGGGCUUAGUGAUCCGGUGGUACUGCGUGGAAAGGCCAUCGCUCAACGGAUAAAAGCUACCCUGGGGAUAACAGGCUAAUCUCUCCCAAGAGUUCAUAUCGACGGGGAGGUUUGGCACCUCGAUGUCGGCUCAUCACAUCCUGGAGCUGGAGUAGGUUCCAAGGGUUGGGCUGUUCGCCCAUUAAAGUGGUACGCGAGCUGGGUUCAAAACGUCGUGAGACAGUUUGGUUCAUAUCCAUCGCGGGCGCAAGAAGUUUGAGGGAGGCUGCUCCUAGUACGAGAGGACCGGAGUGGACGGAUCAACGGUGUACCAGUUGUCACGCCAGUGGCACGGCUGGAAAGCCGCAUCCGGAAAGGAUAAACGCUGAAAGCAUCUAAGCGUGAAGCCCGUCCCAAGAUGAGACUUCUCAUCAGCAAUGAGUAAGACCCCUUAAAGACGAUGAGGUUGAUAGGCUGUGAGUGGAAGAGCCGCGAGGCUUGGAGCGACGCAGUACUAAUAGGUCGAGGUCUUAACUUA
This 1898-nucleotide ribosomal RNA is filed under the name human gut metagenome. Its description in RNAcentral is "bacterial LSU rRNA". It matches the Rfam family "Bacterial large subunit ribosomal RNA", at positions 1039 to 2925 of the family's 2925-position model. The record is from RNAcentral.